GGCCAUGACAUCAGUGAAGUACAUGAGAGUCAUGGUUCAUAGUUUAAAAGAAUUAUGAGAUUCUCUUAAAGUCACAAAGAGUUUAUUUAUGACAUAACUGACAGGCUAAUCUAUAAAGGAAGUCUAGCAAAUUAGAAGUAAUUCAGGAGAGUUUUAUAUACUGAAAAUUUGGGGCCUACCUAGCAGGCUAACAGACUACAAGAUUGUAAAUUAUAAAUGAAGAAUAAGGAAGAAGCCAAGAAAUCUUUUCAUCCAGAAGAGCUGUUUUUGAAACAAUCAUAUGAACUGUUCCUCUUUGAAGAUAACCCAAGGAAAUGGGAAACUGAGCUUUCGAAGCUUGGUGGGUCUGCAAGAGGAAUGUAUUUUGCAAGGCAAUGGCUCCUGUUCCAAGUUCUGACUGAUCAGCAAAAUGAACAAGGAAGUGGGGAGAGGAGCUGGAAAAGAAUAAGGACACUUCUGCCAUUUUCAUCUCUUUCACCAAAGAUCAUGAUGAUUUUCUUUCCAUAUGUUGAAGGUCAAGAUGAAAGAAAGAACACUCAGCUGUGUUUAACAGAUUAAAUCAAC
RNAcentral lists this long non-coding RNA (564 nucleotides) under Sarcophilus harrisii (Tasmanian devil). RNAcentral describes it as "lncRNA (ENSSHAG00000025935.1)". Lineage: Eukaryota; Metazoa; Chordata; Mammalia; Dasyuromorphia; Dasyuridae. The record is from RNAcentral.